UUAGUGGGAGCUGUAAUAGCGCUUCCUUGUUAAGGAAGAGAAUGGAAUUGGUAGUCCCCAUU
This 62-nucleotide transfer RNA is filed under the name Xystodesmus sp. YD-2016. RNAcentral's name for it is "tRNA-Asn". The record is from RNAcentral. Lineage: Eukaryota; Metazoa; Arthropoda; Diplopoda; Polydesmida; Xystodesmidae.